RNAcentral lists this ribosomal RNA (200 nucleotides) under uncultured organism. Its description in RNAcentral is "partial 16S ribosomal RNA". It matches the Rfam family "Bacterial small subunit ribosomal RNA", at positions 128 to 343 of the family's 1533-position model. The record is from RNAcentral.
GCCCUUGGGAGGGGAACAACAACUGGAAACGGUUGCUAAUACCCCGUAGGCUGAGGAGCAAAAGGAGAAAUCCGCCCAAGGAGGGGCUCGCGUCUGAUUAGCUAGUUGGUGAGGUAAUAGCUUACCAAGGCGAUGAUCAGUAGCUGGUCCGAGAGGAUGAUCAGCCACACUGGGACUGAGACACGGCCCAGACUCCUACG